CAGUAGGUAUGGUGUUCUUUGGAUGCAACUCAGCAUUCUUUGUCCUCCAAACACGACAAGUUGAGUUUUUACCAAAAAGUUAUAUUUUGGUUUCAUCUGACCAUAUAACAUUCUCCCAAUCUUCUUCUGGAUCUAGCAAACUUCAGAUGGGCCUGGACAUGUACUGGCUUAAGCAGGGGAACACGUCUGUUACUGCAGGAUUUGAGUCCCUGGCGGCGUAGUCUGUUACUGAUGGUAGGCUUUGUUACUUUGGUCCCAGCUCUCUGCAGGUCAUUCACUAGGUCCCCCCGUGUGGUUCUGGGAUUUUUGUUCACCGUUCUUGUGAUCAUUUUGACCCCACGGGGUGAGAUCUUGCAUGGAGCCCCAGAUCGAGGGAGAUUAUCAGUCGUCUUGUAUGUCUUCCAUUUCCUAAUAAUUGCUCCCAUAGUUGAUUUCUUCAAACCAAGCUGCUUACCUAUUGCAGAUUCAGUCUUCCCAGCCUGGUGCAGGUCUACAAUUUUGUUUCUGGUGUCCUUUGACAGCUCUUUGGUCUUGGCCAUAGUGGAGUUUGGAGUGUGACUGUUUGAGGUUGUGGACAGGUCUUUUAUACUGAUAACAAGUUCAAACAGGUGCCAAACAGGUGUUCUAUUGUCUUCUUGGCUGAUUUAUUUUGAUUUUCCCAUGAUGUCAAGCAAGGAGGCACUGGGUUUCAAGGUAGGCUUUGAAAUACAUCCACAGGUACACCUCUAAAUGACUCAAAUUAUUUCAGUUAGCCUAUCAGAAACUUCUAAAGCCAUGACAUAAUUUUCUGUAAUUUUCCAAGCUGUUUAAAUGCACAGUCAACUUAGUGCAUCUAAACCUCUGACCGACUGGAAUUGUGAUACAGUGAAUUAUAAUUUAAAUAAUCUGUCUGUAAACAAUUUUUGGGAAAAAUGACUUGUGUCAUGCACAAAGUAGAUGUCCUAACCGACUUGCCAAAACUAUAGUUUGUUAACAAGACAUUUGUGGAGUGGUUGAAAAAUGAGUUUUAAUGACUCCAACCUAAGUGUGUGUAAACUGCCGACUUCAACUGUAUGUACGUUUUCCAGAGAGAUCACAGGGAGUGUGGGUUGUUGGGAAUAGACAGUCUGUCAGAGAGGGUAGUGUAGUGUAGUGAGUGGGCAGCAGAUGUCAGACCUCUCAGCCCUCCCCUGCCCAGGGAGCACCUGUUGGGCCGGGGGCCAUCUGGAGGUUGAGACCUAUUACUCUGUGUGUGUGUGUGUGUGUGUGUGUGUGUGCGUGCGCACAUGCGUGUGUGAAAAGGGGGUUGGAGGCGUUUUGUCCCGCAAGGCCACACCCCAGUGAUACACUCUACACUGACCUACAUGACACUGCACUUCUCCAGACCUCCACAUCCCUCUCUCUCUCUUGCGUCAUUUUCCAUCAACCCCCAAAACAUCUCUCUCUCGCUCUUUGUCUUUCCAUCUAAAACCUCCAUCAUCCAUUACAUCUGGUCCUAUCAGAACGCUUCGGAGGCGCUGCUGUACAGACAUUAACAAUUCUCACACUACCUAAUAGAAAAGAUAAGACAUAUAGAUCAGAACUAGCGUCAGUGACACCCCAGGUAGAGUGCAGCUGCAGCUCUGCCACACCUUGGAUGGGGAUACAGAGGUGUGUAUCACUGGUAGGGUUGAAAUUCGGUAAUUUUUGGUAAUUAACAGAAAACAUAUGGCAAUCUAGUUUAACUUUGGCAAUUUUGAACUUAAAGAACAAUUUUUUUAAAUUGUUAAUAUAUAGUAUUAAUUUAUUAUAUCUGUGUCCAUAUUGUCUAUGAGUUUCUAGUCAAUAGACCAUACGGUUCAAGAGAAAAUAGUUUAAUUAAUGAAAAAAAAACAAUAGCAUUAUUUUCAAUUAACUCAAACUCUUCCAACUAUUGACUUUUUUUUACAACUGCCACAAGUUUGACGCCAAAACAUUGACAACAAAUACUUAUUGACAUAGUAAUAUAAAUAACUUUGUAAAAAAUAUAUAUAUAUACAGACACCUGUGAUCAUCUGAAGUACCCAAAAGGGCCACAUUGUGAUAGAUUCAAUCAAAUCCUUUAAAGAUUCUGGUAGUUCACUGGUAAACUUUGAAAGUUUCCAGUAAUAUACCCUCCCUUUCCAACCCUAAUCACUGGUUAUUGUAUCUCUGCUCUGGUCUGUAGCAAUACUGCUGCAUCUCCUCUCCUGCUCCAGCAGAUGUGGAUCCCCAUGGUGACAGGAGAAGAACACCAGAGACACUGCAGAUGGAUGAGUUACACAUCACAAAGAGGAGGAGACAGAAUGACAGACUGCAGGCGCCAUCUGGGAGCGAGAUGUGCAUUACAGGAGCUAUCCAUAUGGUCGGGGCAUCAUGACUUUGCUCAUCUCAUCUCCCGUCAACAUCUCUUCUGCUCAAGUCCUCUCUCAAAUGAUCCACAUACACAUUCUAAACAGAAAGACAAAAACAUGCUCGUGUUUAUAGAUUUUUGCAGAGAUUAUACAAAUUUACACAUAACAGUCGGUAUUAGAUUAAAAUGUUAAACUCAUGUCUUCAAUACUCUUAAAAUGUACAUUUCCUCAUGAAUCGGGUGCUAUAGAUUAAGACUCUUCAUACAAUCUGAUUAUAGUACAUUUAUUAUAAUACAGAAAAUGAUUUGCCACCUCCAUAUCAUCCCCACCCCCAGACGUUGUUCAGUGUCGGGAGCUGGGGGCUUUUUUAAACCCAUCUGCUGUCUCGCACCUUCUAAUCUGCCCCCCCCCAGAACCCAAUGGCAUCGUACUCCUCAUCCUGUCCCCAUCCUACCCACUCAUCACCCAGUGCAUAAUAUAUUCCCCCUGUAACCAAAUACUACAGCUCACAUUGUAUUAAGCCACGUUGCAUAUGCUUAUAACACACACAGUGAUGUUUACAGACCUGUCAUCUGGAAUGUACUGUAGGCUAGAUGUAAGAUAAGUGUAUCUAUGUAUAUUUAGAAAUAAACAGUGUCAAUAUUAAAUCUCUGUGUGUUUGCUAAUUAUGACAAAUUCUUAUUCUACUCAAAAUCAACACUUAUUCGUCGCAAUUACUUUUUUUAUUGU
This is a long non-coding RNA of Oncorhynchus tshawytscha (Chinook salmon), 3059 nucleotides long. The record is from Ensembl. Lineage: Eukaryota; Metazoa; Chordata; Actinopteri; Salmoniformes; Salmonidae.